This 253-nucleotide ribosomal RNA is filed under the name uncultured bacterium. RNAcentral describes it as "partial 16S ribosomal RNA". It matches the Rfam family "Bacterial small subunit ribosomal RNA", at positions 524 to 776 of the family's 1533-position model. The record is from RNAcentral.
UACGGGGGGGGCAAGCGUUGUUCGGAAUUACUGGGCGUAAAGGGCUCGUAGGCGGCCAACUAAGUCAGACGUGAAAUCCCCCGGCUCAACUGGGGAACUGCACAGGAAACUAGCGGGCUUGAGUUCGGGAGAGGGAAGCGGAAUUCCGGGUGUAGCGGUGAAAUGCGCAGAUAUCAGGAGGAACACCGGUGGCGAAGGCGGUUCUCUGGGCAUGUCCUGACGCUGAGGAGCGAAAGUGUGGGGAGCGAACAGG